CCCCUCCCCCAACAGAGAACUCUCUCCCUCUCUCCCUCACCAAAAAUCCUCUCAUCUCUCUCUCGGCCUUGGACCGCCGAUCAUCGCCGGAGCAUCGCCGGAGCAAGCCGCCACCGCCGAUCGCCGCCGGCCAGCCGUUCCCCCUUGCCGCUCUAGCCGAGUUAGUCUAGAGUUCGGAGCCCCUGCCUGAAUGUCGAGAUUGAGGUCGACUCGGAGUCGUCAGGUGAGCAGACAGCUGCGGAGGAUUGAGGUGGUGAUGCAGAGGACAGUGAGUCAGAGUGGACGCCUUCGAGAGGGCGUAGGGGAUAGUUCUGGGAGGAGGAUGCGCCCCAUUUUUGGAUAGUGCUGACCUAGAGAGUUGAUCUUGAUAUUUUGGUGGUUUGGAGUUUAUAGUUCGGUGUGCUUAUAAAUUAUUUUGUGGUUUGUAUUGCCGGAUGAUGUAAAUAUUUGGAAGUGUAAUAUAUGCUUGGUGGUUUGACGAUUUGUUCC
This is a long non-coding RNA of Syzygium oleosum, 489 nucleotides long. RefSeq lists it as uncharacterized. Lineage: Eukaryota; Viridiplantae; Streptophyta; Magnoliopsida; Myrtales; Myrtaceae. The transcript is spliced from 2 exons. The record is from RefSeq and is a predicted model, not a curated record.